Molecule: ribosomal RNA, 253 nt
Filed under: uncultured bacterium
Lineage: Bacteria
Description: partial 16S ribosomal RNA
Rfam family: Bacterial small subunit ribosomal RNA
Source: RNAcentral
UACGUAGGGGGCAAGCGUUGUCCGGAAUCAUUGGGCGUAAAGCGCGUGUAGGCGGCUUGGUAAGUCCGGUGUGAAACCUUGGGGCUCAACCCCAAGCCUGCAUCGGAAACUGCCUCGCUCGAGUCCGGGAGGGGAGAGCGGAAUUCCUAGUGUAGCGGUGAAAUGCGUAGAUAUUCGCAAGAACACCAGUGGCGAAGGCGGCUCACUGGCCCGGUACUGACGCUGAGGUGCGAAAGCGUGGGGAGCAAACAGG